RNAcentral lists this long non-coding RNA (6931 nucleotides) under Equus caballus (horse). RNAcentral describes it as "lncRNA (ENSECAG00000051187.1)". Lineage: Eukaryota; Metazoa; Chordata; Mammalia; Perissodactyla; Equidae. The record is from RNAcentral.
GAUCAGGCUCUGCCCGGGGCGGGUCGCUUCGCUUUUCUGAGGCCUCGGUGUCUUCUCGGUGCUGGGGGUCACGAGACUCGUCCUUGGUGGUCGUCAAUGGCCUUAGUAAGCCGUGAGGCCCCUCGCGGUGAGGGGACUUAGGGGUCCCAGGACCCAUGUGGGAGACAAGUGGUCGGGGGCAGUGGAGGGGACCCCAUCCUGGGAGACCAGUCAUCUGGAUGCGGGUGACUCUGCUACUUAGGUUCCUCUUGGGCCUCAGGUUCCUCACCUGUGGCUCCAUUAGGAGCUUUCGGGCCCUUCUAGCUCAGCCUGCAAUUUGGGGCCACACAGUCCAGGGUGAAAGUGCAAAGGCUCAGACUUAGGGACCAGAGGUCCUUUUUUGUGCUGGGACUGAAAAUUCUAUGGCAGCAAGAUAGACAUUUUCCUUUCUGGGCCACAUCCCUUCUUCAUGAAACAACGAUGACGUCUUUCUGCUAGUAAGGUUGAAAUGAGAUAAUAUAUGUGAACAUUAAUAGGUUUUUAAAAAUUAAGCCAGAAGCAGUUCCCUCCUAAGGGCCUUUGCUCUUCUGAUUUCUCUGGCUGGAUCACAGUCUCGCUUCUCAUGUGACAGGCUCCUCAUCCAGGUCUCCCCUUCUCGGCCUGGCUGUAGCUGUGUACGCUGUCUAGCGUUCCCCCUCACUGCUUGCUCUGUGGCCCUGCUGAUGUGUCUUUGAAGCACCCACCACCACCUCGCAACACAUCCUAUGUGCAGCACCACACUAGGAUUAGCUUCAGGAGGGGAGGGGUGUUGUCGGGUUCCCCUGAGCAUCCCUAAUGCCUGGAAUAGCUCCCAGCACACACGGUGGGCCAAAUGUUGAUUCCUGUGUGUAGAAGGAGUGGGCCAGCAGCUGAGCAUGCCCAGGCCAUCUUCCUAUCUGGCUCUGCGAGGCAGGCCUGCUUCCACCGAUGGGGAUGUGCCAUAUCUCUUGCUUACUUGAUGAGUCUGACCUUCAUUGCCCCCAGGCCUGUGCUGGUCUUUUGGGGUACUGGGCUCACUUCGAGCUUUCCCUUGAGUUCAGGGAGUGGGGUAAGGCUGAACACUCCUAGCCAAAGUCUGCUGCUGCUUUGACCUCCUCAGAGGGGAUUCUGGAAGAACAACCUUCGGACCCUGUGCAGAUGGUGUCUUCAGCCUGGCUUGGGACUUAGAAGACCUGGGUUGCAUUCCUAACUGAUUUCAAUUCCAGUGGAACUUUGAGUUAGUCCUGUUCUCUUUCUGAGCCUCCGUCUUCUCAUCUGUAAAAUGGACAUAGGACAAUACUAUUUCCUUUAGAAAGGUGAUAGAGAUCUUAGAGCCCCUGCUCAAGGAUGCCCAUUGUUCUGGCCCGAGUGCGUUUUUAGGCCAAAGCAAUGGGAGGAUAAAGGAAGGAGUAACCUGACCUGCAGAUGGUGGAUGGAUGACUGGCUAAAGUGUCUAAGCAGCCGGGGAGGGCGUGGGAGACGGCCAGGCCGGAGGUGGACUGAGCUCCAGGCAGAGUCCUAGAGGAAGAUUAGCCCUGAGCUAACAUCCGCCACCAAUUCUCCUCUUUUUGCUGAGGAAGACUGGCCCUGAGCUAACAUCCGUGCCCAUCUUCCUCUCCUUUGUAUGUGGGAUGCUGGCCACAGCAUGGCGUGGUAAGUGGUAUGUAGAUCCUUGCUCGGGAUCUGAACCCGCAAACCCCGGGCUGCUGAAGCGGAGCGCAUGCAAACUUAACCGCUCUGCCACCAGGUUGGCCCCCAGCUCAGUAGUUUUUGAACUGGGUUGCAGUCCACUAGUGGUCAUGAAAUCAACGUAGAGGUGCAUAACCAGCAUGAAAGCAUGAAAGGAAGGGAAAAUAUGUAACAUUUUUCUAAUGUUAAAGUAACCUUGAAUUUUUUCAGAUAAUCCUAAAUUGGUCAUGAUAUUUUAUUCUUUAUAUACAUUGCUAGAUUUGCUUUGCUAACGUUUUGUUUAGGACUUUUUGUUGUUAAUCAAAAUACUCCAUAGAAAAGAGUAGAUAAGAAAGCUACAGAGUGGGAGAAAAUAUAUCAGUUCACAAAAGUCAGCCAUCCAGAAUAUGCAAAGAACUUGUAUGAAUUAACAAGAAAAAGAUUAAUUAAAAAAUGGGUAAUGAUAAACAGGUUUUUAUAAAAAAGCAUAUGUAGAUGACAAUAAACAUGGAAAGUAGUCUAAUCUCAUUAGUUGCCAGGGAAAUGCAAAUCAAAACUGCAAUGAGCUACCAAGUGACACCAGAAAAAUGGGCACAAAUAGAAGUCUGACAUUCAUAAGAGUGGGUAAGGAUGUGGGGUAGCGUGCUCCCUCAUAAACUCCUAGUGGAGUGUAAAUUGGUACAACCACUUUUUUGGUUUGUUUUAUUUCUUAUUCUCUUUAUUUAGUUAGUUUAUUUGGUGGUGCAAACACUUUGGAAAACUGUUUGUCUAGUGAAGUUCAACGUGAUUACACAAUACCCAGCAAUUCCACUUGCCCCUGGUGGACAGAUGCCCUAGUGUGAGUCCAAGUGCAGCAGGAGACCUGGACACAAGUGUUGGUAACAUCAUUAAUUGAACGGCCCCAAACUGGAAACAACCCAAGUGUCCAUCAGCAGUAGAAUGGAUAGAUAAAUUGCAGUGUAUUUAUAUACGCAAUGGGAUAUAAUACAAUGAAAAUGAAUGAGCUGCAGCUACAUGCAAGCAGGAGCAUGGGUGAAUCUUGUAUACAGUUUUGAGCAAAGGAAGCAAGAGAAAAGUGUGAACAGUACUUUUGUGCUCUUAAAAUUGCAAUCAUAAAAAUCAAACAGGCAAAAUUAAGCUACAGUGUUCAGGAUGCACACAUAGGUGGUAAAAGUUUAGAAACAAGCAAAGCAAUGUGAAUAUGAGAGACAAUUACCUGUUGUGGAGGGGGAGGCAGAGAGUUAUGACCAAGGGCUUGAGUGCAUCUCACAGGAUUGUGAACUCAAGGGUGAUAGAAAACUGCAUCCCCAGGUGGACAAAAAUGAAUGACAACGCCUUGUCUGUCAGUUGGGAAUUUGUUCAGUGGCAAAUAACACAGCAGCCCCUAGCAGCCAGACAGACUGGAGAGUACCAUAUUUUUAGUGAGACACAUUGUCUCCUUAAAUAAAGAUUCUCCUGCUAACAGAGAAGGGGCAAAUGGGCAUUGGGUGGACCAACUGGCAAUAGCUGCUACAUUUACAUUAUUCUGACUUUUUUUUUUUUUUGCUGAGGAAGAUUCGCCCUGAGCUAACAUUCAUGCCAGUCUUCCUCUAUUUUGUAUGUGGGACACGUCCACAGCAUGGCUGAUGAGUUGUGUAGGUCCACGCCCGGGGUCCGAACCUGUGAACCCAGGCCACCAAAGUGGAAUGCGCUGAACUUAAUCACUAUGUCACAGGGCUGGCCCCACAUUAUUUUUACUCUGAAUACAUAGUCACAUGGUGGGGGGGCAUGGGAACACAUAAUUACUGCAAAAGUGCAUAAAAUCUGAAAAUGAUUAAAAAUAAUAGCUCAUAUUAUUGAGCACUUUAUCAGUCAGGAGAAAAGGUUAAUGCCCUGACCUAGUAAUAAGGACUUAGGAAUUGCUGAAGAUGGAACUAGGCGAGGCAACCUGAGACCAACAAUAGCCGGAAGCCCCGACCACCCUUGGGGCUGGAGGAGCAGGUUGAGGUGGUGCUCUCAGAGCUGGGGUGGGGUACCUCCCAGAGCUGGAUGCUGGAAUUGUGGAGGGAGGGCUCCUGAGAGAGGUGGAACCAGGAAGAAGCUACAGGAAAUGCAGCAGAUGAGAUGACUUCUGAAACAGAAAUACUUGGUGUCUCCCCUCCUCCCACCCUCCAACACCCAGACAGUGCCAACGUGGGCUGGACAGAGGCAGAAGCCAGCUGGCAAGGGUGCCUGGAGGCUGAGCCCCUUGUGACAUGGAGCAGAAGGGGGACUGGAUGUGUGGACAGGUCAGCACCCUCCUGAGCACUGUAUCACCCGUUUAGUCCCCAUCAGGCCCUGUUCAAACAAGACAGCAGGCCCCAAAGGGAGUCCCUCAUGCUAAGCCCCAUUGUCACCAAACCAAGACCUGGCUUAAUUACAGUUUUGGCCCUCCCAGAAAUGGAAUCUUAAACCAGUGAGUCAGGAAUCCUCUGAUCAGCAUCCGCUAGGUGACCUGCCUGACAGGCCCCUGCCAUCCCCUAAAGGAAAGUAACCUUGCAGUAAUGCACCCACUUUUUUGCCUAGUAUGACUUCUGUGCUCCUGCUUCCUCCUGCCUGUAAGUCUUUCAUUUUGUCCAGCUCCUCAGAGCUCCUUUCUGUCUAGCAGGUUGGGUGCUGCCCAGUUCAUGAACUGUUGAGUAAAGCCAAUAAGAUCUUUAAAAUUUGCUCAGUUGAAUUUUGUUUUUUAAUGGCCCUUUCAUGAAGAAGGAGCCAUGUGAUCUCAGUCUCACAUGGAGAUGUCCAUUAACUUGUCCAAGGUCACAGAUCCUUGGCCGCCUGACCCCAGAGCCUGGGCUCCUGUCCACCGAGGCGGCUGUCUUGCACGGCCAAGCGUGCUGUGCUCAGCACCGAAAUGAGAGAGUUGGUAGUCCCUGUCGUUGAGAGGCUCCUAGUGAAGCUGGGGAGACAGACAUCUAAAGAAUAAAUCUGUUCUGUUCAAGCAUGUUCUAAGGGGGACUUUCUUAGGAGGACACUUGGUCAUACUGUGCACCGUUUGCACAACCCUGUCAGCCCCCCUCUGCCGUUAUGUUCUCGACAUGAGAGCGUCUUGGCUGCAGUGUGACCCAGGCUCGACUUCUUCACUCGGUAUUUUAACAGCCACGUAUGAAAAUGAAAAGGACAGAGUUGCGCCAACGACAGUAGUGUGUGUGUCAGUUGGUAAAGGGAAUUUGUUUUUGUUGUAAAGACAAAAGAUAGCUCAUACAUUCAACCCUUAACAAUUGAUUCUUCAUCUUCCUCCUCACUCCUGUUUUAUUUCCAGAAGCUUUGAAACCUCAGGAAAAGAAAGCAGUCUUUCAGCAAAAGAAUAAUAGCAACAACAAAAGCCCAAAGUCCAGACAAACAUCUCUUAUUUUUCCUUUUUCUGUCUCCACCCAGUACUAUUUUUCUUUUUUUUUUGAGGACGAUUAGCCUGAGCUAACAUCUGCUGCCAAUCCUCCUCUUUUUGCUGAGGAAGACUGGCCCUGAGCUAACAUCUGUGCCCAUCUCCCUCUACUUUUUAUGUGGGACGACCACCACAGCAUGGCUUGACAAGUGGUGAACUGGCGAACCCGGGCCACUGAAGCGGAACGUGUGAGCUUAACUGCUGCGCCACUGGGCCGGCCCCCACCCAGACUAUUUUUUAGGUUCAGAAACAACCAUAAAAAUAAAAUAACAGGAUAAGCAGUGGAAUCUCCAAUUUUUCCUUUUUUCCUGGCCUAUUUCAUGUCUAAUACAUCUCUUCAUCUAGCCUUUCUCCUAAGUUUCUCUGCAAUCUAGUUUUCAGAGUGAAAGCCUGUGAACAGUUGUGGUGAAGCCAUUCCGGAAGCAGCUUCAUGCUCCCUCCCGCUGGGGCCGCCCCUUGACCAGAUGCACCGGCGGCAGUCUCCAUUCCCGAGAGCAGUGCCCUGGACAGAGAUCUUUGGGCCUUGUUGUAGACUCAGCCGCAUCAUACCCGAGGCCGUGGUCUUCUCAUUCACCAACUGCACAGCUUCACCAUUUAAAAAUAGGAGGACGUAUAUUUUACUCUGCACCAGAUUGUUCCCGGUUAUCGUUUCACUCACCAAUUGGCGUUGUAUUCUGGUUUAACUCAGAAGUACCGUUCAUGAACUAUUUUAUCUCAGUCGAGCUGUCAUGAUAAAUUUGGGACCAGACGUUACCUGAGCCUGAGGUCCUUGCUCUGUGGGAGUUAAGAAGGAAAGUGGUUACAUGUGUACAAUCCAUCCACGAUUGAUCAUCGGCUGUCUCCUGUCUUCUGUAGUCUUGAACUUCCACUUCAUCCUUCCUGUUAGACAUGUCAGUGAAUUAAUAUGCAAGCAGUCACUGUGAACAUAGCCUCAUUUGGCCAAGGGGACUUCACAGAUGUGGUUAAGUUGAGGAUCCUGAGAUGGGAGAUCGUCCUGGAUGACCUGGGUGGGCUCUUAUCAGCGGGCGGUGGGAGCUGCCGAGUCAGGGGAGAAGGCCAUGUGAACAUGGGAGCAGACUGGAGUGAUGAAGCUGGUACCUUCAGAAGCUGAAAGAGCCUCCAGAUGCAACCACCCUGCUCACACGCUGCCGUGCGCCCUUUCAGCCUCGCUUUGGACUUCUGACCUCAGAAUGUAAGAAAAUAAAUUUGGGUUGUUUUAAACCACUCAGUUUGUGGUCGUUUUUUAUAGCAGCACUAGGAAAUUGAUACAUAUGGUAACUCUAUAUUUAACUUUUUUGAGGAACUGCCAAACUGUUUUGCAAAUGGCUGGAACAUUUUACAUGCCCACAAGCACUUGGUAUGGUCAACUCUUGAUUUUAGCCAUUUAGUGGAUGUGGAGCUCAUCGUGGUUUUAGUUUGCAUUUCCCCAGUGACUGUGUUGAGCAUCUUUUCACGUGCUUACUAGCCAUUCAGAUAUAUUCUUUUUUUUUGAGGAAGGUUAGCUCUGAGCUAACGUCUGCCGCCAAUCCUCCCCUUUUUGCUGAGGAAGACUGGCCCUGAGCUAACAUCUGUGCCUAUCCUCCUCUACUUUAUGUGUGAGACGCCUGCCACAGCAUGGCUUGAUGAGCAGUGUGUAGGUCCGCACCCGGGAUCCAAAUCAGCAAACCCCGGGCUGCCAAGGCAGAGUGGCGAACUUAAACCCUAUGACACGGGGCCCGCCCCAUGUCAGGUGACCGGCCCCUGGUCACAUAUACUCUUUGAGGAAGUAUGUGUUAAAAUCUUUUGCCCAUUUAAAACUUACAGUCUUUUCUGUCUGUCCUGACAUGCUGAUUCAUGUCCUUCUUAAAGGUAGCUGUUACUCUG